Non-coding RNA from Paramuricea clavata, 554 nucleotides. Lineage: Eukaryota; Metazoa; Cnidaria; Anthozoa; Malacalcyonacea; Plexauridae. The record is from the annotation of a GenBank genome assembly.
GUUCCAUUUAUUCAGUUGACUCCAAAUACAAAACUACCACAUAUAAUAAAAAGAAUCAAGAUUAUUCUGAUGCAUACUGGCGGUUAGUAAAAUGUACCUAAAUAUGCCGGCUGUUGCGGUUUUGAAAAAGUACCAAAAACCGAUACCGCAACUGAGUUAGCCAGUGAUCGAAAUUAGCUGAAUUCAUAUUAGAAGACGGAUUUCUGUCUAAGACGGGAAACUCGUGUGACGUAUUUCCGUCUGGUAUAAGUAUGAAACGAAAACUAUCGGACAGAUUGAUUGGUAAUAUACAAUUACUUUAUGGUUUCCGUGCUUGGAUGGCCUGAUCCAAACACGCGGGAAUGUUGCGAGAGUUAAGAAAAGCGAGCGAAAUCACGAGCCGAAGGCGAGUGAUUUUGCCCGCUUUUCUUAACUCGAGCAACAUUCCCAAGUUUUUGGAUCAGUCCAUCCAAACACGGAAACCAUAAAGUAAUUGUUUUAUAAAAUAACAACAACACGAUAGUCUUCCGUGUUUGGAUGGCCUGAUCCAAACACGGCUUUUGACCAAUCAGAAC